This 261-nucleotide long non-coding RNA is filed under the name Setaria italica (foxtail millet). RNAcentral describes it as "long non-coding RNA (SITA_LNC005303)". Lineage: Eukaryota; Viridiplantae; Streptophyta; Magnoliopsida; Poales; Poaceae. The record is from RNAcentral.
UGCGCCAGACACUGAUCGCCUGCAAGGAAGAGGCACGGCUGUGGGGCUGCCGGAUGCCGAGAGCCUCGCGAAGCGUCUCCCAAGCUUGGUGCUCCUUGUUUGCUAACGCAAUGUAAAACCAAACACCGCUAAUGUAAAAUUUUUCUUUAUCACCUGGGCAGGUGGGGGCAUUCUCUCCCCCUCCGUUGCCCAUAAAAGAAAAUCUUUGAAACCAAACUGUAUUAGAAAAAACCUAACCCAAUGCAUAUAAUCAAGAGGCAC